AUGUGUGUGUGUGUGUGUGUGUGUGUGUGUGUGUGUGUGUGUGUGUGUGUGUGUGUGUGUGUGUGUGUGUGUGUGUGUGUGUGUGUGUGUGUUUUACACCUUGAGUUGCUUUACCUUCCGAAACGGGUCCACAUGAGCCCUGAGGGCCAGUCCAAGAAAGAUUACUUUCACCAUUAUCAUUCCACACGAAGGAAUAUUGCAUGUGCUCCUCAUGUUCCACGGUUUGCAGACCCUCUGCCCAAGUGGGAUCCCCUUUAAACUCUAUGUGCCUCUAGCGGCCAGCCAGCAAUGUGAACGAAAGAAAAGGUGUUAGCAACCGACGCAUUAUGACAGGGAUAUACAUCCUGGCAUGCAUGCGGCGACCAGCUCACCCCGGCUGCUUUCGCAAGCGGCAAACCCAUUCAGUGUUG
This 410-nucleotide long non-coding RNA is filed under the name Volvox carteri. RNAcentral's name for it is "long non-coding RNA (VCAR_LNC003155)". Lineage: Eukaryota; Viridiplantae; Chlorophyta; Chlorophyceae; Chlamydomonadales; Volvocaceae. The record is from RNAcentral.